UACGUAGGGGGCGAGCGUUGUCCGGAUUUACUGGGCGUAAAGAGCUCGUAGGCGGUUCGGUAAGUCGGAAGUGAAAGCUCCAAGCUCAACUUGGAGAAGCCUUCUGAUACUGCCGUGACUUGAGUUCGGUAGAGGAGUGUGGAACUCCCGGUGUAGCGGUGAAAUGCGCAGAGAUCGGGAAGAACACCAGUGGCGAAGGCGGCACUCUGGGCCGAUACUGACGCUGAGGAGCGAAAGCGUGGGGAGCGAA
Molecule: ribosomal RNA, 250 nt
Filed under: uncultured bacterium
Lineage: Bacteria
Description: partial 16S ribosomal RNA
Rfam family: Bacterial small subunit ribosomal RNA
Source: RNAcentral